UGAAACCAAAUAAUAGAGAGCAUUUCCACAACUUGUUUAUAGUUUCAGCUCGAACAAAUAUUACCACUGGAAUGUCGUUCAACAGAGAUUCUAAGCUUCGUUUGUAUCCUUGACAACACAUGCAGCUUGGGCCUCUAUUAUGUCUAUGCUCUGUUAGGCUUGGUUUAUAAGGACGCCGUUGCUAUAGACAGCGUACAGGCGAUUUCCUCCAAUCACGAACACGCACUUGCAACGAAACCAUUUGAAUCAGCCAAUCAAAUGAAAGACCGAUUAUCCACCUGAAGAAUGGGGUUUCGAGUUUCGAGACUCUGGGAUGACACGAAAACUGAAGUAGUUCGCAACUAUUUUAAUGUACAUUUUACCCGUGUCGACGACGUUUGAAUGUUUGUAAUUUCGCAUGAGAAAAUCAACGACAAACUCUUCUUCCCCACCUCUGCAUGUGCAUGUGAACGAGACCAUACCUGUGCAUGUGCAUGUGAAGAAGAGCACAAAAUGCAGCCCUACCAAGACAGCCCAGGUUAAAACAAAAAGUAGCUUGCAUCCUACUGCUAAG
Molecule: long non-coding RNA, 553 nt
Organism: Sinocyclocheilus grahami
Lineage: Eukaryota; Metazoa; Chordata; Actinopteri; Cypriniformes; Cyprinidae
Exons: 3
Source: RefSeq, a predicted model, not a curated record